UACGUAGGGUGCAAGCGUUAAUCGGAAUUACUGGGCGUAAAGCGUGCGCAGGCGGUUGUGUAAGACAGAUGUGAAAUCCCCGGGCUCAACCUGGGAACUGCAUUUGUGACUGCACAGCUGGAGUGCGGCAGAGGGGGAUGGAAUUCCGCGUGUAGCAGUGAAAUGCGUAGAUAUGCGGAGGAGCACCGAUGGCGAAGGCAAUCCCCUGGGCCUGCACUGACGCUCAUGCACGAAAGCGUGGGGAGCAAACAGG
RNAcentral lists this ribosomal RNA (253 nucleotides) under uncultured bacterium. Its description in RNAcentral is "partial 16S ribosomal RNA". It matches the Rfam family "Bacterial small subunit ribosomal RNA", at positions 524 to 776 of the family's 1533-position model. The record is from RNAcentral.